This 84-nucleotide transfer RNA is filed under the name Candidatus Woesearchaeota archaeon. RNAcentral's name for it is "tRNA-Arg". It matches the Rfam family "tRNA". From Rfam's summary of the family: Transfer RNA (tRNA) molecules are approximately 80 nucleotides in length. Their secondary structure includes four short double-helical elements and three loops (D, anti-codon, and T loops). Lineage: Archaea; Nanobdellati; Candidatus Woesearchaeota. The record is from RNAcentral.
GGGACUGUAGCGUAAUCUGGAUUAGCGCGAGAGAUUCCUAAUCUCUAGAUUAUGGGUUCAAGAAUGAAAAUCCCAUCAGUCCCG